Molecule: ribosomal RNA, 459 nt
Filed under: uncultured bacterium
Lineage: Bacteria
Description: partial 16S ribosomal RNA
Rfam family: Bacterial small subunit ribosomal RNA
Source: RNAcentral
CCUACGGGUGGCAGCAGUGAGGAAUAUUGGUCAAUGGGCUAAGGCCUGAACCAGCCAAGUCGCGUGAGGGAAGACGGUCCUAUGUAUUGUAAACCUCUUUUGUCGGGGAGCAACGAGGCCACGUGUACCCGAAGUGAGCGUACCCGAAGAAAAAGCAUCGGCUAGCUCCGUGCCAGCAGCCGCGGGAAUACGGAGGAUGCGAGCGUUAUCCGGAUUUAUUGGGGUUAAAGGUGGCGUAGGCGGAACAUUAAGUCAGCGGUAAGAUCGAGGGGCUCAACCCCUUUAAGCCGUUGAAGCUGGUGUGCUUGAGUGGGAGAGAAGUACGCGGAAUGCGUGGUGUAGCGGUGAAAUGCAUAGAUAUCACGCAGAACUCCGAUUGCGAAGGCAGCAUACCGGCGCCAGACUGACGCUGAGGCACGAAAGCGUGGGGAUCGAACAGGAUUAGAUACCCGUGUAGUC